UCCAAGUUUUUAAUUGCAGCACUUUGAUUCUGGAUAGUUGUCUCAGUCUUCCUCAUAAAUUGAUUAUUCGCAUCCAUGUACUGAUCUGUCUUUUCCAUGAAUUUACCAAACAUCUCUUCCAAGGAAGUUCUCUUCUCUGCUUGCUGAAACUGAGAACCAUGUGGUGCAGUGGGAUUCUGAUUGCUCCAGGAAAAAUUCGGGUGCUUCCUCCAACUAGGAUUGUAUGUGUCAGAAUAUGGAUUAUUUUGUUGGCGCUGACCCCCUUGUAUGAAAUCAAUGUGUUCCGUACCUUGUAUACGAAUUGGACAAUUUACUGUACUGUGAUCCGCCCCACAUUCUUUACAACUUGCUCUUUUAGCCUGUACUACAUUGG
This 373-nucleotide long non-coding RNA is filed under the name Olea europaea subsp. europaea. Lineage: Eukaryota; Viridiplantae; Streptophyta; Magnoliopsida; Lamiales; Oleaceae. The record is from RNAcentral.